Long non-coding RNA from Cyprinus carpio (common carp), 1070 nucleotides. The record is from Ensembl. Lineage: Eukaryota; Metazoa; Chordata; Actinopteri; Cypriniformes; Cyprinidae.
GACAUCUGUACUAAACAAAUGAUACGAGAGCUUUUCUCAGAACUAACUUCUCUUUUCUAAGUUAUUUUUGUAAAAUGUUUCUAGUCACAAGGCAUUUUGGGUACACUGUAGUUUCUUAAAAUUUCAUGAAAAUGUAACUGAAUUCAUAAAAAGUAUGAAUUUCUGUCUGCCAUAAUGCUCAUGACUGGCUUAUUUGAUCAUUUCUAAAGGGAAAAACAAAGUAGAUUGUCCAUCUGGAGGAUAUUGAAAGGACAUUACUGCUUUGCACAAGAAUGUUUUUCUGGUCCAUUUCACCACAUUUUCAGUUUGUCACCACAGUUUUUUUAGAAAUCGUCUUCUUUUUAUGUGGUCUGAAUUGUGUUUAACAACAGCCGUGCACCAAAUGUGACCGCACAGCAGACUCCCAGAUUAUGAACCACUUAUCUGUCAGCGGUGCACUGGCAGGGGUUCUGGAUCGAAUCUUAUUUUGUCACUCCAUUGGGUGUUUGAAAUAGCAUGAGGAUGUUUGUUUUUCCUAAGUGCAUCUUUGUCCCUCAAAGUACAUACUUGUGUUUUUUAUAACAGUUUAAUACAUGAAAUGUUUAUACUUUAUAGAAUAAUGUGAAAGACAGUUAGCACUUAUUUGUGUUUUUCUGUGUGUGUAGUAAACCUGGACAGCAGACUCGAUAUGCUUUGGUUUUGUCUCCACCUUAUGGCCAAGAAUGAUACUGCACUGUAUCGCGUUCAUUUCUAUUGAUUUACAAUCCACAAGCUGGUCGCGUGGGUUCCUUCUGCCUCUGUACUGGUACAUCACAAAAUAAUGCGGAUCUUAAGAUGAAAUUUAACUACGUCAGGUACAAUUUCUAAUGUCUGUAUCACAUUAUGCUUGAUUGUAUGGCUGUAAAUGUUGCAAAAUAAUGGUGUAAAAUAUGAAUCAAUAGUUUAAAAAUCUGUUUGACCUACACUUUACUUAUAUUAAACUUUACUUGGAUUACUUUUUCUAAAACAUGACUUUCUAACACAAAUAUAUUCAUUGUACCUGAUUUAAUUAUAUUAAUAAAACGUUUUUACAUUUUAUUGUUUAAAUCUUU